This is a long non-coding RNA of Humulus lupulus (European hop), 960 nucleotides long. RefSeq lists it as uncharacterized. NCBI's taxonomy places the organism in Eukaryota, Viridiplantae, Streptophyta, Magnoliopsida, Rosales, Cannabaceae. The transcript has 2 exons. The record is from RefSeq and is a predicted model, not a curated record.
GUUAAAAUUAAUAAUUUCCGUUUUCUACCCACUUUUUAUAUAAGGAGUCCUUGGCAAAAUGGCAUUUUUUUAUAGUGCAAUUUGCACUUUGGCCUAGUUUCAAUAGAUUUUAGCUAAAUGGCAUCUUUUAUUAAUGAAUAUUUUGUAUUACCCAUUUUACCCUUAAAAUAAAUUAAAAUAAAAACCCUAAUAACUAUCAUCUCAUUCCUCUCACCCAUCCACCCACACCCAUUAUCAUCCCCCGCCGCCGCCGCCACCACCACCACCGGUGACCACUGCCCCCUACCGCCGGCGAACACUGCUAAUCACCAGAUGUUGCCAUUUCUCCACAAAUCCAACCACCACUCAUUCAAAAGAUGUCAUUAAAAAAUAUUGUAAUAUUAUGUGAUGGAAUGUGGAAAAAGAAUGAGGACUCGUGGAAAUGGAUUUCAAAUGGCUCACGAUCAAGAUCAAGUUUGGUACAAACUAACCUAACUUAUGAGGAGUUAGUUGAACAUAUUUAUGAAGUUACAGAAAUCGAUCACAACCUCUUCGAUAUAGAAUUAACUUACAAGAUAACAACAAUGGUGGAGAUUGAACCAAUUGUAAUAAAAAAUAGUAGAGACAUUGUUAGUUUCUUUACAUGGCAAGAGCGUGAUUUGGUUCCAUUAUGUGUGGGUUUGAUCAAAAAGAUGGAAAAUGUGCUCAUUAAGGAUAAACUUGUUACUAAUAUUGAUUCUACUACAAAUGUUAAUUAAGAUCCAAUAACCUACUUUCAAAAUUGUUCUACCCGAGAGCCAUCUUCUCCUUGUAGUAUGACAAUGUUCAUGUAUCAAACUCUUAUAGUAUGACUUGUAUUGGAUAUUUAUUAGCAAAGGCAAUGGAAUUGUAUUUUGUUUAUGUAUCAAACUCUUAUAGUAUGACAUGUAUUGGAUAUUUAUUAGCAAAGGCAAUGGAAUGGUAUUUUGUUUAUGUAUAAAA